Manacus vitellinus (golden-collared manakin) is the source of this 789-nucleotide long non-coding RNA. RefSeq lists it as uncharacterized. The transcript is spliced from 5 exons. Lineage: Eukaryota; Metazoa; Chordata; Aves; Passeriformes; Pipridae. The record is from RefSeq and is a predicted model, not a curated record.
UGGAAUCUUCGUGAACCUGAGAGCCUGGCCUAACAUUUCCACAGUGAUGAUAAAAAUGCUGAUCAGAAGUUUAGUAUCACCAUUUCUCAGUUCAAAAGCCAUCUAAAUAUGCUAACAAACACACCCAACUGACUCCUGUAAAAGAAGCAAUAUAAUCACAGUGCCAUGAAGCUCUUGAUGCUGAACCUUGGAGGUGUAGUUAUCACUGCUGAGUUGUAAGCAAGAGAACUUGUUAGAGUUUCACCAUGCUGGAAGGCCAGAGAAAAGAGUUGGCCUCUAGAACUCUCUACCUCAAAGAGGUUCCUACAGCUUGCUGUUGGUACAAACUGAAGCAUUCAGCCCUUCAUGGAAUCAAUGGAGUCUAUAACUUUAAUGUAUAAAUAUGCUUAAAAAGAUUCUGGGACCUUCAUUGAUUGACACAAUAUGAUGAAUUGUCCUAAUCCUCUGUAUUCUGUGUACAGAGUGAAUCAUGUUACUUUCUAAAUUGUGUUACUUUCUAAUUCCAUCCUCUUCUUUAGAGAAGCCUGUGCAGAUCUCUGAGGAAGUAUCUAUUCAGAGCCUGUUGCUUCAACCUACCACUGAAAUGAACCACUAUGCUUUUAAGAGGAAUUUGGAAUAUAAUCCAAGUUUCACAAACCUAGAAAAACAUCCAUAUGGGAUUAUAACAAAUUAAUUUGUUGGACAGCUCAUGUUCACUAGUAUAUGUUUUUGCUCAAAAAAUUGUUAUGUAAUAUAGGUAGGAAAGCGUGUAUUUUGUUCAUGAUUAUGUUAAUAAAAAACGUGCUUGAA